UAGAGUUUGAUUCUGGCUCAGAUUGAACGCUGGCGGCAGGCCUAACACAUGCAAGUCGAGCGGUAACACAGAGGAGCUUGCUCCUUGGGUGACGAGCGGCGGACGGGUGAGUAAUGCCUGGGGAUCUGCCCGAUAGAGGGGGAUAACUACGGGAAACUGUAGCUAAUACCGCAUAAUGUCUACGGACCAAAGUGGGGGCUCUUCGGACCUCAUGCUAUCGGAUGAACCCAGGUGGGAUUAGCUAGUUGGUGAGGUAAUGGCUCACCAAGGCGACGAUCUCUAACUGGUUUGAGAGAAUGACCAGUCACACUGGAACUGAGACACGGUCCAGACUCCUACGGGGGGCAGCAGUGGGGAAUAUUGCACAAUGGGCGCAAGCCUGAUGCAGCCAUGCCGCGUGUGUGAAGAAGGCCUUCGGGUUGUAAAGCACUUUCAGCGGGGAGGAAGGGCCUCUAGUUAAUACCUAGUGGCAUUGACGUUACUCGCAGAAGAAGCACCGGCUAACUCCGUGCCAGCAGCCGCGGUAAUACGGAGGGUGCAAGCGUUAAUCGGAAUUACUGGGCGUAAAGCGCACGCAGGCGGUUUGUUAAGUCAGAUGUGAAAUCCCCGAGCUCAACUUGGGAACUGCAUUUGAAACUGGCAAGCUAGAGUCUUGUAGAGGGGGGUAGAAUUCCAGGUGUAGCGGUGAAAUGCGUAGAGAUCUGGAGGAAUACCGGUGGCGAAGGCGGCCCCCUGGACAAAGACUGACGCUCCGGUGCGAAAGCGUGGGGAGCA
Molecule: ribosomal RNA, 774 nt
Filed under: uncultured bacterium
Lineage: Bacteria
Description: bacterial SSU rRNA
Rfam family: Bacterial small subunit ribosomal RNA
Source: RNAcentral